GGCCUGUUACCUCAGCUGGUUAGAGCGUGGUGCUAAUAACGCCAAGGUCAUGGGAUCGAUCCCCACAUGGGCCA
Molecule: transfer RNA, 74 nt
Filed under: Danionella translucida
Lineage: Eukaryota; Metazoa; Chordata; Actinopteri; Cypriniformes; Danionidae
Also listed under: 1 other name
Rfam family: tRNA
About the family: Transfer RNA (tRNA) molecules are approximately 80 nucleotides in length.
Source: Rfam by way of RNAcentral